GACGAACGCUGGCGGCGUGCUUAACACAUGCAAGUCGAACGGAAAGGCCCUGCUUUUGUGGGGUGCUCGAGUGGCGAACGGGUGAGUAACACGUGAGUAACCUGCCCUUGACUUUGGGAUAACUUCAGGAAACUGGGGCUAAUACCGGAUAGGAGCUCCUGCUGCAGGGUGGGGGUUGGAAAGUUUCGGCGGUUGGGGAUGGACUCGCGGUUUAUCAGCUUGUUGGUGGGGUAGUGGCUUACCAAGGCUUUGACGGGUAGCCGGCCUGAGAGGGUGACCGGCCACAUUGGGACUGAGAUACGGCCCAGACUCCUACGGGAGGCAGCAGUGGGGAAUAUUGCACAAUGGGCGGAAGCCUGAUGCAGCAACGCCGCGUGCGGGAUGACGGCCUUCGGGUUGUAAACCGCUUUCGCCUGUGACGAAGCGUGAGUGACGGUAAUGGGUAAAGAAGCACCGGCUAACUACGUG
This 468-nucleotide ribosomal RNA is filed under the name uncultured bacterium. RNAcentral describes it as "partial 16S ribosomal RNA". It matches the Rfam family "Bacterial small subunit ribosomal RNA", at positions 28 to 507 of the family's 1533-position model. The record is from RNAcentral.